RNAcentral lists this ribosomal RNA (468 nucleotides) under uncultured bacterium. RNAcentral's name for it is "partial 16S ribosomal RNA". It matches the Rfam family "Bacterial small subunit ribosomal RNA", at positions 28 to 507 of the family's 1533-position model. The record is from RNAcentral.
GACGAACGCUGGCGGCGUGCUUAAUACAUGCAAGUCGAACGGACAGGCCCUGCUUUUGUUGGUUGCUCGAGUGCCGCACGGGUGAGUAACACGUGUGUAACCUGCCCUUGUCUUUCUGAUAACUUCAGGAAACUGCGGCUCUUACCGGAUAUGAUCUCCUGCUGCAUGUUGUUCGUUGGAAAGUUUCGGCGGUUGUGGAUGGUCUCGCGGCUUAUCAGCUUGUUGGUGUGGUAGUGGCUUACGAAGGCUGUGACGGGUAGCCGGCCUGAGAGGGGUACCGGCCACAUGGGGACUGAGAGACGGCCCAGACGCGUACGGGAGGCAGUAGGGGAGAAUAUGGCAGAAUGGGCGGAAGCCAGAUGCAGCAACGCCGGGAGCGGGAUGACGGGCUUCGGGUUAUAAACAGAUGUCGAAGGAGACGAAGAGGGAGUGACGGUAAUGAGUAAAGAAGCAACGGCUAACUACGUG